UGGGGAAUCUUGGACAAUGGGCGCAAGCCUGAUCCAGCGACGCCGCGUGGGUGAUGAAGGCCCUCGGGUUGUAAAGCCCUUUCGCCGGGGACGAUGAUGACGGUACCCGGUGAAGAAGCACCGGCUAACUCCGUGCCAGCAGCCGCGGUAAGACGGAGGGUGCUAGCGUUGUUCGGAAUCACUGGGCGUAAAGGGCGCGUAGGCGGCUGUCCAAGUCGGGCGUGAAAGCCCGGGGCACAAUCGCGGAAUUGCGCACGAAACUGGGCGGCUUGAGGGCGGAAGAGGGGAGUGGAAUACCCAGUGUAGAGGUGCAAUUCGUAGAUAUUGGGUGGAACACCGGUGGCGACAGCGGCUCCCUGGUCCGGACCUGACGCUGAGGCGCGAAAGCGUGGGGAGCGAACAGGAUUAGAUACCCCCGUAGUCC
This 424-nucleotide ribosomal RNA is filed under the name uncultured prokaryote. RNAcentral describes it as "bacterial SSU rRNA". It matches the Rfam family "Bacterial small subunit ribosomal RNA", at positions 355 to 796 of the family's 1533-position model. The record is from RNAcentral.